RNAcentral lists this transfer RNA (75 nucleotides) under Synergistes sp. RNAcentral describes it as "tRNA-Val". It matches the Rfam family "tRNA". Rfam says of the family: Transfer RNA (tRNA) molecules are approximately 80 nucleotides in length. Their secondary structure includes four short double-helical elements and three loops (D, anti-codon, and T loops). The record is from RNAcentral. Lineage: Bacteria; Thermotogati; Synergistota; Synergistia; Synergistales; Synergistaceae.
GGGCGGGUAGCUCAGCGGGAGAGCAUCUGCCUUACACGCAGAGGGUCGUAGGUUCGAAACCUAUCUCGCCCACCA